Molecule: unclassified non-coding RNA, 383 nt
Filed under: Yarrowia lipolytica
Lineage: Eukaryota; Fungi; Ascomycota; Dipodascomycetes; Dipodascales
Source: RNAcentral
GCGAUAACUUCGUCCAGCUAGCUGGGUUACCAGGCUCACAAAGAUAUUGGUUAUUGGCCGGUUUCUUGGUGGUCUUGGCGAUCCAUCUUGGAGGUGUCAAUAUAUAUGGUUGAAUGGGACCGUGAGAAUCGAACACUGAUUUCAACUGAUUUGUUCGUGAUACUACGGCCCCAGAUUAAUGUGCCCGGCGAUACAUAUUAUUUAGCUUCAAAGGACCUGUUCCUUUCUGUUGUUGUUUAAAUAAGAAGAUCGGGCUAAAUUCCUCACAUAGGAGUCCCUUUAUAGAAUUACACGACCAUGGGUGGUGAAAGACAUGUUCUUGUCCUGAUGAGUGCAUCAGACAGCUCGACACCUCCUACUACUUAUAGUACUGUAUGUAAUAU